UACGUAGGUGGCAAGCGUUGUCCGGAAUUAUUGGGCGUAAAGGGCGCGUAGGCGGUUCUUUAAGUCAGAUGUGAAAUCCCGAGGCUCAACUUCGGGCGUGCAUUUGAAACUGGGGGACUAGAGUGCAGGAGAGGUAAGUGGAAUUCCUAGUGUAGCGGUGAAAUGCGUAGAUAUUAGGAGGAACACCAGUGGCGAAGGCGACUUACUGGACUGUAACUGACGCUGAGGCGCGAAAGCGUGGGGAGCAAACAGG
This 253-nucleotide ribosomal RNA is filed under the name uncultured bacterium. RNAcentral describes it as "partial 16S ribosomal RNA". It matches the Rfam family "Bacterial small subunit ribosomal RNA", at positions 524 to 776 of the family's 1533-position model. The record is from RNAcentral. RNAcentral also lists the same sequence under 1 other name.